UCAUAAGGAAAAGGCUGGAUGGGGUAAGCAGGAAGUAUGACAACAACGAUAAUCAUCCAGUAUCAUCUGAUGAAGAAACAUUGCAAGCACGCAAGCGCAGAACCAAAACUAAGGAACUGUCAUUGGAGAAUCUUUCACCGAUCAUAUCACAGCAUCAAUAGACUUCACAAGGCACGGAUUCUGACGAUGAGACCAUAGGACCUGUGCUUAGAACCGAAACUAAAGAGCUGCCGUUGAUGGAUCUUUCACCGAGUAUAUCACAGCAUCAAGAGACUUCGCAAGGCACGGAUUCUGAUGGCGAGACCAUGGGAUCAAUGCUUAGGCGCAUAAGGAAAAGGCUGGAUGCGGUAAGCAGGAAGUAUGACAACAACGAUAA
Molecule: long non-coding RNA, 376 nt
Organism: Triticum aestivum (bread wheat)
Lineage: Eukaryota; Viridiplantae; Streptophyta; Magnoliopsida; Poales; Poaceae
Exons: 4
Source: RefSeq, a predicted model, not a curated record